This 256-nucleotide ribosomal RNA is filed under the name uncultured bacterium. RNAcentral's name for it is "partial 16S ribosomal RNA". It matches the Rfam family "Bacterial small subunit ribosomal RNA", at positions 524 to 776 of the family's 1533-position model. The record is from RNAcentral.
UACGGAGGGUGCAAGCGUUAUCCGGAUUCACUGGGUUUAAAGGGUGCGUAGGUGGGCAGGUAAGUCCGUGGUGAAAUCUCUGAGCUUAACUCAGAAACUGCCGUGGAUACUAUUUGUCUUGAAUGUUGUGGAGGUGAGCGGAAUAUGUCAUGUAGCGGUGAAAUGCUUAGAUAUUGACAAUAGAAACACCAAUUGCGAAGGCAGCUCACUACACAAUUAUUGACGCUGAGGCACGAAAGCGUGGGGAUCAAACAGG